AUUGGAGGAGCCUGGUUGCCCGCCUGCUCUCUUUAGACUAUGGCCCCAUGUUGAAACGCUUGAUUUUCCCCUGCGAAGACACGAGAGCCGGGUGAUUCGGUGCUUUCCCUGUUUGAGCAGUGAUACCCCAGAUAGCUAUGCCAUGGAGCCCAUUCGUAUAAUGAAAGACUAUGGGAAAGACUUUGGCUCCAUGGAAAUUGAACUGUAUGUGUGUGCUCUGAGCGCAAUUCAGUAAUAAUGUGCGCUCAGAUCUGAGCUAUCUGGGGAUAUGUUGAAUGUACCUGUUUU
Non-coding RNA from Pelobates cultripes (western spadefoot toad), 288 nucleotides. NCBI's taxonomy places the organism in Eukaryota, Metazoa, Chordata, Amphibia, Anura, Pelobatidae. The record is from the annotation of a GenBank genome assembly.